Molecule: long non-coding RNA, 1611 nt
Organism: Coturnix japonica (Japanese quail)
Lineage: Eukaryota; Metazoa; Chordata; Aves; Galliformes; Phasianidae
Source: RefSeq, a predicted model, not a curated record
UUGCCAUGUGCUUUUUCUCCAGCUUCUCGUAAUGCCUGCUGACCUGAUGUGCUGGCAAUCCUGCAUCCCCUCGGAGUGCCAGGAGGCUCAUCACCACUCCACCAGCUCCAGGAUGCCUGGGAUGCAGUGUGAUGGUAGCACUGGCCGAAACCAUCACCAACUGCAGAGACACCAUCUUUUCUUUUUGGAAGAUCUUGGGUUUGAAACGUGAUCCCUGAAAUAAGACCAUGACAGCCGUCAGAUCCUCUUCUCUGAACAGAGAAUCACUGAGGAGCAGCUUGAGAUAAGUGCUGCAAACAAAAGAGAGAACCCGACGGCUGUCAGAUCAGAGUAGCAGUAGGCCAAGAAGACAAAUUGCCUUCUGGCUGCAGACAGAAUAGCUGUUGUGGUGUGCCUUGGAACGCGAUGUCCUCCACAGAUGGCAGCCUGCAGCAAAAGUCUGAUUGGACCUGCAGAGAUGCAGCCCAAUGACAGUGUCGUGUGUUCUUAUCCUAGGGCUGCAUGUGACACUAUGCAGGAUACAGAAAAUUGUUCUUGGACACUGUGCAGAUCUCUACAGGCAGACGGCUGGCACUUUGGAUUGCAACAUUACCGAAACGAAAAGCGUGAACACUACAGGAAUUUCUGCUCUAUGGAAAAAUGUUAUUUUUGGAUUCUUCAGGAAGGCGUGCACAUAAAACCACCGGUUCCCUGCACUCUCUCUGUUGUCCGAUUUGUUAAACUCAAGUGGUCCCAUGUGCGAGUAGCAUGACUGCCAGAAGUGCUCUGCAGCCAUCUGCUUUUUUGGUAAGUCUUUGAUUAUUUCUUUGUCUAUAUUUCUGUCCGAAAUUAGAACUGGCAACUCAAUUGGUUGGUUACUAUUGGAUUUUUUAUAAUUUAACAUUUCCAACUUAUGGCUAGGAAAUAGCAGCAAGGUAAUAAAAAGCACAAGAAAUAAACUUUCCUACAGAAGUCCUGGUGGAGCUUUUGUACUGUAUUGUUUCAGCAACUGAGCAGAGAAAGUUUUACUCUUUGUAGGUAGCUGGAAGGAGCAGACUUAGCAGGAUGCACUAGUUUGUUGAACUGUCCAGAAAAUGUGGAGAAGAACUCCCAGGCUCCGGUAAAGGCACUUGUAAUAGAGGUGAACUUGGAAGUCAGUGCUGCUUUUAGAUCAGAACCAAACCACACCACAGAGGAAGAAAGUUAAAAGCAGGGGGGACUUCUUCUGAAGCUAGAGGUCUCCUAUGGUAGCUAGAAACUUGUUGCCUGUGUAGGUCUGCUAUGAAGGCUGUGUGCUUGCUGGCUGUACAGUUUCAAAGCCUGGGAGAGGCUCUGACUGAUAUCCUGCAACUGGGUGGUGUGUGCUGCCAGGUUUUUUCAAUGGAAGCUUCACGAGAGGUCCUGGAUUUCUUCAAUGAGGACUUCAAUGUGGAAUCCAGGUCCUGUAUCUCCUGUAUCUGGAGAGAGGACAGGAGUCAGGGCUAGAGCAGACACUGUGAUCACUGGCUCUGUCCUUCCACAUGGAAUCCAUAGAGGAUACCAACACACAUACCCUGUAAUGCUGACUUUGUGGGACAUGUACAGAAUAAUUCAUUACUGAGUGCUGUGUUUGCUUGUUUGGUUUUUUUUUUU